GGGCUUAUUGGUCUAACGGAAAGGCGCCGGGUGUCACCACCCGGAGAUCGCGGGUUCAACUCCCGAUAAGUCCA
Molecule: transfer RNA, 74 nt
Filed under: Patescibacteria group bacterium
Lineage: Bacteria
Description: tRNA-OTHER
Rfam family: tRNA
About the family: Transfer RNA (tRNA) molecules are approximately 80 nucleotides in length. Their secondary structure includes four short double-helical elements and three loops (D, anti-codon, and T loops).
Source: RNAcentral